CUACGGGCGGCUCCAGUGAGGAAUAUUGCACAAUGGGGGGAACCCUGAUGCAGCAACGCCGCGUGGAGGAUGACGCAUUUCGGUGUGUAAACUCCUUUUAUAUGUCAAGAAAAUGACGGUAGCAUAUGAAUAAGCACCGGCUAACUCCGUGCCAGCAGCCGCGGUAAUACGGAGGGUGCAAGCGUUACUCGGAAUCACUGGGAGGAAAGGACGCGUAGGCGGGUUGGAAAGUCAGGUGUGAAAUCCUACAGCUUAACUGUAGAACUGCACUUGAAACUUCUAAUCUAGAGGAUGGGAGGGGGAGAUGGAAUUAGUGGUGUAGGGGUAAAAUCCGUAGAUAUCACUAGGAAUACCUAAAGCGAAGGCGAUCUCCUGGAACAUUACUGACGCUAAGGCGUGAAAGCGUGGGGAGCAAACAGGAUUAGAUACCCCCGUAGUC
RNAcentral lists this ribosomal RNA (439 nucleotides) under uncultured bacterium. RNAcentral's name for it is "partial 16S ribosomal RNA". It matches the Rfam family "Bacterial small subunit ribosomal RNA", at positions 339 to 795 of the family's 1533-position model. The record is from RNAcentral.